AUUGAACGCUGGCGGCAGGCCUAACACAUGCAAGUCGGACGGUAGCACAGAGGAGCUUGCUCCCCGGGUGACGAGUGGCGGACGGGUGAGUAAUGUCUUGGGAUCUGCCCGAUAGAGGGGGAUAACCACUGGAAACGGUGGCUAAUACCGCAUAACGUCGCAAGACAAAAGAGGGGGACCUUCGGGCCUCUCACUAUCGGAUGAACCCAGAGGGGAUUAGCUAGUAGGCGGGGUAACGGCCCACCUAGGCGACGAUCCCUAGCUGGUCUGAGAGGAUGACCAGCCACACUGGAACUGAGACACGGUCCAGACUCCUACGGGAGGCAGCAGUGGGGAAUAUUGCACAAUGGGCGCAAGCCUGAUGCAGCCAUGCCGCGUGUAUGAGGAAGGCCUUCGGGUUGUAAAGUACUUUCAGCGGGGAGGAAGGCGGUGAAGUUAAUAGCUUCACCGAUUGACGUUACCCGCAGAAGAAGCACCGGCUAACUCCGUGCCAGCAGCCGCGGUAA
Molecule: ribosomal RNA, 506 nt
Filed under: uncultured bacterium
Lineage: Bacteria
Description: partial 16S ribosomal RNA
Rfam family: Bacterial small subunit ribosomal RNA
Source: RNAcentral